Molecule: ribosomal RNA, 98 nt
Filed under: Crocodylus porosus (Australian saltwater crocodile)
Lineage: Eukaryota; Metazoa; Chordata; Crocodylia; Crocodylidae
Source: RNAcentral
UUAGGUAGCUAUGCCAGACUGAAUACACCUGAUCUCAUCUGAUCCUGAAAGCUACAGAGUCCUGGGAUUAGAGAUAUGUUGAUGGUAUACUGGCUUAG